UAAAUACUCCUCUGUCCGGAAAUACUUGUCCGAGGAAUGGAUGUAUCUAGAUGUAUUUUAGUUCUAAAUAUAUCUAUUUCUAUCCAUUUCCAAGACAAGUAUUUCCGGACGGAGGAAUACAAG
This is a non-coding RNA of Triticum aestivum (bread wheat), 123 nucleotides long. Lineage: Eukaryota; Viridiplantae; Streptophyta; Magnoliopsida; Poales; Poaceae. The record is from Rfam.